GUGUCAGCAGCCGCGGUAAUACGAAGGUCCCAAGCGUUAUCCGGAUUUAUUGGGUUUAAAGGGUGCGUAGGCGGAUUAUUAAGUCAGUGGUGAAAGCCCCAGGCCCAACCUGGGAAUUGCCAUUGAUACUGAUGAUCUUGAGUACAUUUGAGGUAGGCGGAAUGUGUCAUGUAGCGGUGAAAUGCUUAGAUAUGACACAGAACACCAAUUGCGUAGGCAGCUUACUAAACUGUAACUGACGCUGAGGCACGAAAGCGUGGGGAGCAAACAGGAUUAGAUACCCCGGUAGUCC
This 292-nucleotide ribosomal RNA is filed under the name uncultured bacterium. RNAcentral describes it as "partial 16S ribosomal RNA". It matches the Rfam family "Bacterial small subunit ribosomal RNA", at positions 505 to 796 of the family's 1533-position model. The record is from RNAcentral.